AGGAGCAACAGCCCCAGUGGCGGGGCCAGCUCUGCAGCCCUGGAUUCAGCUCCGGCAGGAACUCCGGAGCUCUCCGUCUGCAGGGCCUGGAGGCUCCGGGGCGGG
This 105-nucleotide microRNA precursor is filed under the name Canis lupus familiaris (dog). RNAcentral's name for it is "mir-8834 microRNA precursor family". It matches the Rfam family "mir-8834 microRNA precursor family". Lineage: Eukaryota; Metazoa; Chordata; Mammalia; Carnivora; Canidae. The record is from Rfam by way of RNAcentral.